UACUAUAUAGUUUAUAUAAAACAUUAAUCUUGUAAAUAAAAGUUAAAUAAUAUUCACAUUUUAUAGUAU
Molecule: transfer RNA, 69 nt
Filed under: Calameuta filiformis
Lineage: Eukaryota; Metazoa; Arthropoda; Insecta; Hymenoptera; Cephidae
Description: tRNA-Thr
Source: RNAcentral